CCCGCUGGAAACUAAGCAUAUCAAUAAGCGGAGGAAAAGAAACCAACAGGGAUUGCCCUAGUAACGGCGAGUGAAGCGGCAACAGCUCAAAUUUGAAAUCUGGCUCUUUCAGAGUCCGAGUUGUAAUUUGCAGAGGGCGCUUUGGCUUUGGCAGCGGUCCAAGUUCCUUGGAACAGGACGUCACAGAGGGUGAGAAUCCCGUACGUGGUCGCUAGCUAUUGCCGUGUAAAGCCCCUUCGACGAGUCGAGUUGUUUGGGAAUGCAGCUCUAAAUGGGAGGUAAAUUUCUUCUAAAGCUAAAUAUUGGCCAGAGACCGAUAGCGCACAAGUAGAGUGAUCGAAAGAUGAAAAGCACUUUGGAAAGAGAGUCAAACAGCACGUGAAAUUGUUGAAAGGGAAGCGCUUGCAGCCAGACUUGCUUGCAGUUGCUCAUCCGGGCUUUUGCCCGGUGCACUCUUCUGCAGGCAGGCCAGCAUCAGUUUGGGCGGUGGGAUAAAGGUCUCUGACACGUUCCUUCCUUCGGGUUGGCCAUAUAGGGGAGACGUCAUACCACCAGCCUGGACUGAGGUCCGCGCAUCUGCUAGGAUGCUGGCGUAAUGGCUGUAAGCGGCCCGUCUUGAAACACGGACCAAGGAGUCUAACAUCUAUGCGAGUGUUUGGGUGUCAAGCCCGAGCGCGUAAUGAAAGUGAACGGAGGUGGGAACCCGCAAGGGUGCACCAUCGACCGAUCCUGAAGUUUACGGAAGGAUUUGAGUAAGAGCAUGGCUGUUGGGACCCGAAAGAUGGUGAACUAUGCUUGAAUAGGGUGAAGCCAGAGGAAACUCUGGUGGAGGCUCGCAGCGGUUCUGACGUGCAAAUCGAUCGUCAAAUUUGGGCAUAGGGGCGAAAGACUAAUCGAAC
RNAcentral lists this ribosomal RNA (899 nucleotides) under Curvularia lunata. Its description in RNAcentral is "eukaryotic LSU rRNA". It matches the Rfam family "Eukaryotic large subunit ribosomal RNA", at positions 24 to 940 of the family's 3401-position model. Lineage: Eukaryota; Fungi; Ascomycota; Dothideomycetes; Pleosporales; Pleosporaceae. The record is from RNAcentral.